Long non-coding RNA from Myiozetetes cayanensis, 512 nucleotides. RefSeq lists it as uncharacterized. The record is from RefSeq and is a predicted model, not a curated record. The transcript has 4 exons. Lineage: Eukaryota; Metazoa; Chordata; Aves; Passeriformes; Tyrannidae.
GUUCCUGGGAGCUGUGUGGAGCUGGGCACUGAAACUGCAGAAAAACAAAGUUAAGAAGACAGCAAGACUGGACCAUGCUCUGGAUCUCCAGCAGCCUUUGGCAGAAAGGAAAAGGAGACUUCCUCCAGCCUCAGACAGCCAUUCCAAAGUACAAGAAGGAGGUCCUGGAACUGCCGAGCUGUCCCAGCUGUGCUGUGCUCAGAUUAUCCUGAGGUUUUGGAGAAGCACUGGGAUGCACAAAAGCUGCCACUCAAUGAGACAUGUGGAAGAUGCUGCACUCCAAAAAAAGAUGAUCAAGGCUGUGACAACCUGGAGAGACAGAAACCAGGGCACUGAAUGACUGCUCCUUGCUUUUCCAGGUAUUGUAGCGGAUUGACAAGUAGACGCUUUUGAUGCUAAUGAAAGUCUUUAUACAGCACUGAUGGGAAAGAGUGCUUAUUAAGAUUGCAGGGUAGCAACUGAAGAACUUUGUUAAGCUCCAUCCAAGAGCCUGUGUCUAAGAGCAAAGCAGC